This 492-nucleotide ribosomal RNA is filed under the name uncultured bacterium. Its description in RNAcentral is "partial 16S ribosomal RNA". It matches the Rfam family "Bacterial small subunit ribosomal RNA", at positions 29 to 507 of the family's 1533-position model. The record is from RNAcentral.
AGUGAACGCUGGCGGUGGGCCUAACACAUGCAAGUCGAACGGCAGCACAGUAAGAGCUUGCUCUUACGGGUGGCGAGUGGCGGACGGGUGAGGAAUACAUCGGAAUCUACUUUUUCGUGGGGGAUAACGUAGGGAAACUUACGCUAAUACCGCAUACGACCUACGGGUGAAAGCAGGGGAUCUUCGGACCUUGCGCGAUUGAAUGAGCCGAUGUCGGAUUAGCUAGUUGGCGGGGUAAAGGCCCACCAAGGCGACGAUCCGUAGCUGGUCUGAGAGGAUGAUCAGCCACACUGGAACUGAGACACGGUCCAGACUCCUGCGGGAGGCAGCAGUGGGGAAUAUUGGACAAUGGGCGCAAGCCUGAUCCAGCCAUACCGCGUGGGUGAAGAAGGCCUUCGGGUUGUAAAGCCCUUUUGUUGGGAAAGAAAAGCAGCAGGUUAAUACCCCGCUGUUCUGACGGUACCCAAAGAAUAAGCACCGGCUAACUUCGUG